ACGAACGCUGGCGGCAUGCCUAACACAUGCAAGUCGCACGAGACCUUCGGGUCUAGUGGCGCACGGGUGCGUAACGCGUGGGAACCUGCCCUUAGGUUCGGAAUAACUCCCCGAAAGGGGUGCUAAUACCGGAUAAUGUCUUCGGACCAAAGAUUUAUCGCCUUUGGAUGGGCCCGCGUUGGAUUAGCUAGUUGGUAGGGUAAAAGCCUACCAAGGCGACGGUCCAUAGCUGGUCUGAGAGGAUGAUCAGCCACACUGGGACUGAGACACGGCCCAGACUCCUACGGGAGGCAGCAGUGGGGAAUAUUGGACAAUGGGCGAAAGCCUGAUCCAGCAAUGCCGCGUGAGUGAUGAAGGCCUUAGGGUUGUAAAGCUCUUUUACCCGGGAUGAUAAUGACAGUACCGGGAGAAUAAGCUCCGGCUAACUCCGUG
RNAcentral lists this ribosomal RNA (432 nucleotides) under uncultured bacterium. Its description in RNAcentral is "partial 16S ribosomal RNA". It matches the Rfam family "Bacterial small subunit ribosomal RNA", at positions 29 to 507 of the family's 1533-position model. The record is from RNAcentral.